UUCAGUUUAGGGUUUAAAACCCUAAUGCUGAUUGCAUGGAAAAGUUUAGUUUAGGGUUUAAAACCCUAAUGCUGGUUGAAUGGAAAAAGUUCAGUUUAGGGUUUAAAACCCUAAUGCUGGCUGAAUAGAAAAAAGUUUAGUUUAGGGUUAAAAACCCUAAUGCUGACUAAAGGAAAAAUUCAGUUUAGGGUUUAAAACCCUAAUGCUGAUUGCAUGGAAAAGCUCAGUUUAGGGUUUAAAACCCUAAUGCUGGCUGAACGGAAAAAGUUCAGUUUAGGGUUUAAAAACCCUAAUGUUGACUGCAUGAAAAAGCUCAGUUUAGGGUUUAAAACUCUAAUGCUGGCUGAAUGGAAAAAAGUUCAGUUUAGGGUUUAAAACCCUAAUGCUGACUAAAGGAAAAAUUCAGUUUAGGGUUCAAAAUCCUAAUGCUGACUGCAUGGAAAAGCUCAGUUUAGGGUUUAAAACCCUAAUGCUGAUUGCAUGGAAAAGUUUAGUUUAGGGUUUAAAACCCUAAUGCUGGCUGAAUAGAAAAAGUUCAGUUUAGGGUUUAAAACCCUAAUGCUGACUAAAGGAAAAAUUCAGUUUAGGGUUUAAAAUCCUAAUGCUGACUGCAUGGAAAAGCUCAGUUUAGGGUUUAAAACCCCUAAUGCUAGCUGAAUGGAAAAAGUUCAGUUUAGGGUUUAAAAACCCUAAUGCUGACUACAUGAAAAAAGCUCAGUUUAGGGUUUAAAACCCUAAUGCUGGCUGAAUGGAAAAAAGUUUAGUUUAGGGUUUAAAACCCUAAUGCUGACUAAAGGAAAAAUUCAGUUUAGGGUUUAAAACCCUAAUGCUGAUUGCAUGGAAAAGCUCAGUUUAGGGUUUAAAACCCUAAUGCUGGCUGAAUGGAAAAAGUUCAGUUUAGGGUUUAAAACCCUAAUGCUGACUAAUGGAAAAAAGUUUAGUUUAGGGUUUAAAACCCUAAUGCUGACUAAAGGAAAAAUUCAGUUUAGGGUUUAAAACCCUAAUGCUGGCUGAAUGGGAAAAAGUUCAGUUUAGGGUUUAAAACCCUAAUGCUGACUAAAGGAAAAAUUCAGUUUAGGGUUCAAAACCCUAA
RNAcentral lists this long non-coding RNA (1093 nucleotides) under Nicotiana tabacum (common tobacco). RNAcentral describes it as "long non-coding RNA (NTAB_LNC002320)". The record is from RNAcentral. Lineage: Eukaryota; Viridiplantae; Streptophyta; Magnoliopsida; Solanales; Solanaceae.